ACGAAGGCAGCAGUGGGGAAUAUUGCACAAUGGGGGAAACCCUGAUGCAGCGACGCCGCGUGAGUGAAGAAGUAUUUCGGUAUGUAAAGCUCUAUCAGCAGGGAAGAUAAUGACGGUACCUGACUAAGAAGCACCGGCUAAAUACGUGCCAGCAGCCGCGGUAAUACGUAUGGUGCAAGCGUUAUCCGGAUUUACUGGGUGUAAAGGGAGCGUAGACGGCAUGGCAAGUCUGAAGUGAAAGCCUGGGGCUCAACCCCGGAACUGCUUUGGAAACUGUUAAGCUAGAGUGCAGGAGAGGUAAGUGGAAUUCCUAGUGUAGCGGUGAAAUGCGUAGAUAUUAGGAGGAACACCAGUGGCGAAGGCGGCUUACUGGACUGUAACUGACGUUGAGGCUCGAAAGCGUGGGGAGCAAACAGGAUUAGAUACCCUGGUA
This 433-nucleotide ribosomal RNA is filed under the name uncultured Lachnospiraceae bacterium. Its description in RNAcentral is "partial 16S ribosomal RNA". It matches the Rfam family "Bacterial small subunit ribosomal RNA", at positions 341 to 792 of the family's 1533-position model. The record is from RNAcentral. Lineage: Bacteria; Bacillati; Bacillota; Clostridia; Lachnospirales; Lachnospiraceae.